AUGAAGAACGAAUCCUACUCUAUCGUGUCUUGGAAUGUUCGUGGAUUAGGUGAAAAUGGCAAAUGUGCCAAUGUGUUCUCUGAAAUCAACCAGUUGCGCCCAUCAAUCGCUUUGCUCCAAGAAACUAAGUUACACAAACCGGACACCAUCAAACUGCGCUCUAUCUUGCCACAUUUCCUUGACUCAAACAACCACCUCGACGCAAUCGGAUCUGCGGGAAGAAUUCUUUCGGCCACUAACUCACGAUGCUUUACGCUUCUUAACUGUCAACAUAGGCGUUUUACCUCCACCCUAACUCUCUCAUGCCUUGCCUCGCAAUACAAUAUCUUUAUCACAAACGUCUAUGCCCCUCGAAGGGACCUAAAAUAUGAAUUCCUCGACAAACUUAAACAACUCGAACCACCACCUAAAUCUCCUUGGCUCCUCAUCGGAGAUUUCAACCUAAUCCGCUUCCCUAAUGAAAGGAACAACAACAAUUUUUGCCGAUCUGAGGCCGAUGCCUUCAAUGACACCAUUGAUCAACUCGCACUCCUCGAGCUCCCUCUUCUGGACCGCCAAUUUACUUGGUCAAAUAAAAGGACGUCACCUACGCUAAUAUGGCUAGAUAGAGUUCUUAUAAACCUGUCUUGGGAUGCGCUCUUCCCCAACUCGCACCUCACCUCUCUUACUCGAUUUGCCUCCGAUCACGUACCGCUCCUGGUUAUUAUCUCCACAACUAUUCCUUCCUCCCGCCUUUUUCGGUUUGAACGUUACUGA
Molecule: ribosomal RNA, 756 nt
Filed under: Triticum aestivum (bread wheat)
Lineage: Eukaryota; Viridiplantae; Streptophyta; Magnoliopsida; Poales; Poaceae
Description: partial small subunit ribosomal RNA
Source: RNAcentral